RNAcentral lists this ribosomal RNA (465 nucleotides) under uncultured bacterium. RNAcentral describes it as "partial 16S ribosomal RNA". It matches the Rfam family "Bacterial small subunit ribosomal RNA", at positions 339 to 795 of the family's 1533-position model. The record is from RNAcentral.
CUACGGGUCGCAGCAGUGGGGAAUAUUGCGCAAUGGGCGAAAGCCUGACGCAGCAACGCCGUGUGAGGGAUGAAGGCUUUCGGGUCGUAAACCUCUGUCGGAAGGGAAGAACGGGCAUUGGUCUAAUAGGCCUUUGUUUUGACGGUACCUUUAGAGGAAGCACCGGGUAACUCCGUGCCAGCAGCCGCGGUAAUACGGAGGGUGCAAGCGUUAUUCGGAAUUACUGGGCGUAAAGCGCACGUAGGCCGGUUUGUAAGUCAGGGGUGAAAUCCCACGGCUCAACCGUGGAACUGCCUUUGAAACUGCAGGACUUGAAUCCUGGAGAGGGUGGCGGAAUUCCUGGUGUAGGAGUGAAAUCCGUAGAUAUCAGGAGGAACACCGGUGGCGAAGGCGGCCACCUGGACAGGUAUUGACGCUGAGGUGCGAAAGUGUGGGGAGCAAACAGGAUUAGAUACCCUCGUAGUC